GAUUAACGCUGGCGGCAUGGCCUAAUACAUGCAAGUCGAACGAGGUCACUUGUGACCGUAGUGGCGAAACGGGUGAGUAACACGUAGAGAACCUGCCUCAAAGUCGAGGAUAACUAUUGGAAACGCUAGCUAAGACUGGAUAGUAUACCAGAAGGCAUCUUUUUGGUAUUUAAAGGUCCGUUUGGAACGCUUUGAGAUGGCCCUGCGGCGCAUUAGCUAGUUGGUGAGGUAACGGCCCACCAAGGCGACGAUGCGUAGCUGACCUGAGAGGGUGACCGGCCACACUGGGACUGAGACACGGCCCAG
RNAcentral lists this ribosomal RNA (306 nucleotides) under uncultured bacterium. RNAcentral's name for it is "bacterial SSU rRNA". It matches the Rfam family "Bacterial small subunit ribosomal RNA", at positions 28 to 334 of the family's 1533-position model. The record is from RNAcentral.